GAUGAACGCUGGCGGCAUGCCUAACACAUGCAAGUCGAGCGAACAGUCCAGGCGUUUGGGCGGCUGGCGUUGGCGGAGGACGGAACAGUCCCUUGUGUACAACAUAACUCUAAGAAACGUAUGAUAAUGCCAAAUGGGCCCUUAUAGGGGAAGAUAUAUCGACCCUAGUGCGGCCGUGGUCUGAUUAGCUAGUUGUGUGAGGUAUUGAUUCACCAGCGCGACGAUCAGUAGCUGGUAUGAGAGGAUGAUCACAGACAUUGGGACUGAGACACGGCCCAAACUCCUACGGGAGGCAGCAGUGGGGAAUCUUGCGCAAUGGGCGAAAGCAUGACGCAGCCAUGCCGCGUGAAUGAUGAAGGUAUUAGGAUUGUAAAAUUCUUUCAACGGGGACGAUAAUGACGGUACCCGGAGAAGAAGCCCCGGCUAACUUCGUG
RNAcentral lists this ribosomal RNA (434 nucleotides) under uncultured bacterium. RNAcentral's name for it is "partial 16S ribosomal RNA". It matches the Rfam family "Bacterial small subunit ribosomal RNA", at positions 28 to 507 of the family's 1533-position model. The record is from RNAcentral.